This 254-nucleotide ribosomal RNA is filed under the name uncultured bacterium. RNAcentral's name for it is "partial 16S ribosomal RNA". It matches the Rfam family "Bacterial small subunit ribosomal RNA", at positions 524 to 776 of the family's 1533-position model. The record is from RNAcentral.
UACGUAGGGUGCAAGCGUUAUCCGGAAUCACUGGGCGUAAAGCGUGCGUAGGUGGAUGUUUAAGUGUGAUGUUAAAUCGUGGGGCUCAACCCUGUCGUUGCAUCGCAUACUGGGCAUCUAGAGGACGGCAGAGGCAAGUGGAAUUGGUAGUGUAGCAGUGAAAUGCGUAGAUAUUACCAGGAACACCAAUGGCGAAGGCAGCUUGCUGGGCCACUCCUGACACUGAGGUACGAAAGGCGUGGGGAGCGAACAGG